This 465-nucleotide ribosomal RNA is filed under the name uncultured bacterium. RNAcentral describes it as "partial 16S ribosomal RNA". It matches the Rfam family "Bacterial small subunit ribosomal RNA", at positions 28 to 507 of the family's 1533-position model. The record is from RNAcentral.
GACGAACGCUGGCGGCGUGCUUAACACAUGCAAGUCGAACGGAAAGGCCCCUUUGGGGGUACUCGAGUGGCGAACGGGUGAGUAACACGUGAGUAACCUGCCCUUGACUUCGGGAUAACUUCAGGAAACUGGGGCUAAUACCGGAUAGGAAUCCUUGCUGCAUGGUGGGGGUUGGAAAGCUUCGGCGGUUUUGGAUGGACUCGCGGCUUAUCAGCUUGUUGGUGGGGUAGUGGCUUACCAAGGCUUUGACGGGUAGCCGGCCUGAGAGGGCGACCGGCCACAUUGGGACUGAGAUACGGCCCAGACUCCGACGGGAGGCAGCAGUGGGGAAGAUUGCACAAUGGGCGGAAGCCUGAUGCAGCAACGCCGCGUGCGGGAGGACGGCCUUCGGGUUGUAAACCGCUUUCAGCAGGGGCGAAGCUUGUGGUGACGGUACCUGCAGAAGAAGCACCGGCUAACUACGUG